GGAUGAGCGGUCUGGGUUGUCUGGAUCCUGAGCAGCAUAUGUUAAAAUCAAGAUUCUUUAUUUACCCAUUCUGAUAGCUCCUAGUGGCUGCUCGCAUCCUGUGGUUGGUGGUCAUCUUCCUCCAUCUUCAAAAAUGACGUUCUGCCUCGUGUUUCCACCGAAACCAUCGUGUGCCCAUAGUAACCAGCAGACACCAUGCAUGUGUGAUCUCCUUUAUGACCUGCGCCUAAUUAGCUUUUUAUUGUCAUCUUCCAACUCCCGCUUAAACUGUACAAACGGGCAGCAUGACUCCCGAUACCGAUUAAUAAGCUUCUAGCCCUGGUCCUGCAAUAAAGAGGAUGUAUUUACAGCAUGA
RNAcentral lists this long non-coding RNA (355 nucleotides) under Homo sapiens (human). RNAcentral's name for it is "HSALNT0258272". The record is from RNAcentral. Lineage: Eukaryota; Metazoa; Chordata; Mammalia; Primates; Hominidae.